AUGUACUUUGAGGCUGCUAGGACACCAUUGGAGCAGAAAACUGAAAUUGCUGUCACUUACCUCAAAGGGCCAGCAAUAGAGUGGUGGAGAGGAACUGGAAUUAUUGCCAAUACCUUACCCUGGUACAGGUUCUGUAGACUGAUUGGAGACAGGUUUUCAGAAACUUCAGUAUGUGACAAUGUCAGAACUUUUCAUGCCCUCAACCAAACUGGGUCUGUUAAUGACUAUGUUCUCAAGUUUGAACAAUCCAUGAACUUACUCAGGAGGGACAACCCUGCACUACCUGCUGAUUAUUACAAAGCUAGUUUCAUCGCUGGCCUGAGUGACUCUAUCCAACAUUAUGUUCAAUGUCAUGAACCAGCAGACCUACAAAAAGCCAUAUGGUUGGCCAGAAGAAUGGAACAAGCUCAGCCCAGCAAGAAAACACCAGUGGCUUAUAUUAAUCAGCCAGUUAGGAGGCAGGUUCAGUUUGACCCAGGAAAGCCCCCUCCUAACAACACACCUACUGUCAUCCAACAGGCCAGAAUGAAAGGGAUCUGCUACAAGUGCAAAGAACCAUGGUUUCCUGGCCACAAGAAAGUUUGCAAAUUGGUAAAUCAAAUGCAGAUACAAGCCUUGCAAGAGACCUGCCCUGAGGAUGCAGAAUUGGUCUACUACACGGCUGAUGAUACUGAAGCUCCACCUCUCACUGACUUGGAUGACACCCCCUUGCAAAUCUCUAUGCAUGCCCUCAUGGGAGUUACUUCCUCCAAGCUGAGUUUCACUGUGACAGUCAUGUUGGGAGACAAACCUGCAACUGCCCUCAUUGAUAGCGGCAGCACUGCAACAUUUGUAACUCCUGCACUAGCAAAGUUGGCUCUGUGUGCCCUCACACCAACUAAGAAAAAGAAAGUGUUAGUGGCCAAUGGAGCAACUUUAUGGACUGAAUUCAUUGCUCUCCAAUGCCCUUUUGUGGUGCAAGGAACUGAAUUUUCCCAUGAUUUCAGAGUCCUACAGUUACAAGGUUAUGAUGUGAUACUGGGAGCUGAUUGGAUGAAAAUUGUUAGUCCUGUACAGCUAGAUUUUGAGGAAAUGGAAGUACAAGUCACAUUGAAAUCGGGAGAAAAGAAAAUCUUCAAGGAUGAAAGCCUACCCAGUGAGCCAGUUCAAGAAAUGGACAGUAUGGAGCACUUAUCUGAUGACAAUAUCUGUGGGGCUGUGUUGCUGCUAAACAGAAUUGCUCUGACAGAACAUGAGGACACUGUUGUUCCCCCUCCUGUCCAAGAACUUCUGGGUCAGUACAAAGAUAUUUUUGGAACUCCUACUGAUUUACCUCCUAAGAGAACUGUUGAUCAUGCUAUUCCCUUUGAACCUGGUGCAAAAGUUAUAAACCAAAGGCCAUACAGAUUGCCUUAUCACCAAAAGGAAGCUAUGGAACAGAUCAUUCAGGAAAUGAUUAAAAACAAAGUGAUCAGAGAUAGUUCAAGUCCUUACUCCUCUCCUGCAAUUUUGGUGAAAAAGAAAGACCUAUCCUGGAGACUUUGCAAUGAUUUCAGAAAGGUCAAUACUCAGACUAUCAAAAACAAGUACCCCAUCCCUGUUAUUGAGGACUUGUUGGAUGAACUGCAUGGAGCCACUGUUUUCACUAAACUUGAUCUCAGAAGUGGUUACCACCAGAUAAGAAUGAAGGAAGAGGAUAUUGAGAAAACUGCUUUUAGCACCCACUGUGGGAACUAUGAAUACUUGGUCAUGCCUUUUGGUUUAACCAAUGCUCCUGCAACUUUCCAAAUGCUCAUGAAUACUAUCCUAGCCAAGUAUCUCAGAAAAUUUGUACUAGUAUUAUUUGAUGAUAUUUUGGUAUUCAGUAAAAAUAUGAAGGAGCACAUACUUCACUUGAAACAAGUAUUUGAAACACUGAAGGAACACCAGCUGUACAUCAAAGCAAGCAAAUGUGUCUUUGCUCAGCCUCAGGUGGAGUACUUGGGACAUGUUAUUAGGGCUGAUGGAGUUGCAACUGACCCAAUCAAAAUUCAGGCAGUGCAACAAUGGCCAAAACCUGAAAAUGUCACACAGCUAAGGAGUUUUUUAGGGUUGACAGGUUACUAUAGAAGAUUUGUGGAAAAUUAUGGACUCAUUUGCAGGCCUCUGUUUAACUCCCUAAAAAAAGGCAGUUUCACUUGGGGGCAAGAGCAAGUUCAAGCUUUCAAUACCCUGAAGAACAAAAUGACACAAGCCCCAGUGUUGGCCCUACCAGACUUCUCAAAGCCUUUCAUCUUGGAAACAGAUGCUUGUGCCUAUGGACUAGGUGCAGUUCUAAUGCAAGAGGGGAGACCUAUUUCCUUUUUCAGUAAAGCAAUUGGUCCUAGAGCAGCUGCAUAUUCCACUUAUGACAAGGAAGCUUUAGCAAUUAUUGAAGCUCUCAAGCACUGGAAACAUUAUUUUGUUGCAUCCUCUCUCAUCAUCAGAACUGAUCAACAGAGUUUAAAAUAUAUACAAGAACAAAAACUCACUGAGGGAAUUCAGCACAAGCUCCUGGUCAAACUUCUUGGCUACAAUUACACUGUGGAGUACAAGCAGGGAAAGAAAAAUAAAGUCGCUGAUGCCCUUUCCAGGGUGCACCACAAAAUUCAUGCACUAAUUGCUUCUUCUGUCAAACCUGCCUGGGUAACUGAAGUUGUUGGCAGCUACAAAAAUGACCAAAGAUGCAAGGAUCUACUAGCUCAACUGAUUGUAAAUAUUGAUUCUGUGACCAACUACACUGUGCAACAGGGUGUGUUCAGAUACAAAAACAGAAUUGUCAUUGGAGCUGGUAACACCAUCAGAACUAAAUUGCUAGCUGCUUUACAUAGCUCUGAACUGGGUGGCCAUUCAGGACACAGAGCUACAUACCAAAGAGUUAAGCUUCUCUUCCACUGGCCUGGCAUGAAGCAAUUUGUUGUGGACUAUAUUAAACAAUGCCCUACCUGUCAAAUAAAAAAAGCAGAACACUGCAAGUACCCUGGGCUACUCCAACCUCUGCCAGUCCCAGACUUUGCCUGGUGCCACAUAAGCAUGGAUUUUGCGGAAGGUCUCCCUACUUCUCACAACAAGAACAUCAUCUUGGUUGUGGUCGACAGAUUCACUAAAUACAGCCACUUUAUCCCAAUGAAACACCCCAUUACAGCUAAUAUUGUAGCUAAGGCUUUCACUGACAACAUCUUCAAACUCCAUGGACUACCAGCUGUGAUUGUCACUGACAGAGACAAAAUCUUCACCAGCAAGCUUUGGCAGGACUUGUUCAAGAAGUUGGGAAUCAAGUUACACAUGAGCACUUCUUAUCACCCUCAGUCUGAUGGUCAGACAGAAAGAGUCAAUCAGUGUCUUGAAAAUUAUCUCAGAUGCAUGGCCUUCAUCCAACCACCAAAGUGGCUCAACUGGUUAUCCCUAGUAGAAUGGUGGUACAAUACUAGCUACCACACAGCCCUCAAGCUCACCCCCUUCCAGGCCCUGUAUGGCAGACCUCCUCAUAUGCUAGUUGAAUUUGCUCUUUAUCCUGUGGAAGAAUUGGAACAGUUCCCUGAUGUACUCACUGCUGAACAAACCGCAGCACAUAUUAAGGAAAAUCUCCUGAGGGCUCAAGCCAGAAUGAAACAUUACGCUGACAAGAAGAGAUUUGAGAGAACUUUGGAAAUGGGUGACAUGGUCUACCUGAAACUACAACCUUACAGGCAUACCACUCUCAGCAUCCAUAGAUGUCCCAAGCUGCAUUCCAAAUUUUAUGGCCCAUUCAGAGUUAUCCAGAAAGUUGGUCCAGUGGCUUACAAGCUCCUUCUUCGUGACGAUUGCAAACUUCAUGAUACUUUUCAUGUGAGCCAGCUCAAGAAGCAUAUUGGUCCAAUGGCAAUUCCAAACCCCAAGCUCCCCUUGCUCAAUCCGGAUGGAACAAUCUUACUGGAACCAGAACAACUGCUCGAACGCAAACUGGUACCGCGUGUGCAAGGCAACAUCAGUAUUCCUGUGGUUCGAUGGCUCAUAAAAUGGAGUAAUCUACCUCUGGAGGAGGCCACUUGGGAGGACGCCACAUUCAUACAAAAAGUGUUUCCUAAUUUCCAACCCUGA
Molecule: ribosomal RNA, 4077 nt
Filed under: Triticum aestivum (bread wheat)
Lineage: Eukaryota; Viridiplantae; Streptophyta; Magnoliopsida; Poales; Poaceae
Description: partial small subunit ribosomal RNA
Source: RNAcentral